This is a long non-coding RNA of Hyla sarda, 1738 nucleotides long. RefSeq lists it as uncharacterized. The record is from RefSeq and is a predicted model, not a curated record. NCBI's taxonomy places the organism in Eukaryota, Metazoa, Chordata, Amphibia, Anura, Hylidae. The transcript has 3 exons.
AGUGGUGUACAUUGGUGACAGAGAGGUGUUGGGGGUGUAGAGGAGUGUACGUGGGUGACAGAGGAGCGCAGAGUAGUAGACAUGGAUAACAGAAGGGUGUAGGGGUGUACAAUGGUGAUAGAGGGGUGUAGAGGAGUGUACAUGGGUGACGGAGGAGCUUAGAGGAGUGUCAAUGGGUAACAGAUGGGUGUAGAGGGGUGUACAUGGUUGACAGAGCGGUGUAGAAGAGUGAACAUGUGUAACAGAGGGGUGUAGAGGAGUGUACAUGGGUGACAGAGGGGUGUAGAGGAGUGUACAUGGGUGACAGAGGAUCGUAGAGUAGUGUACAUGGGUGACAGGGGAACGUAGCGGGUGAAAGAGGGGUGUACGGGGUGAUAGAAGGGUGUACGUAGGUGACAGAGGGGUGUUGGGGGUGUAGAGAUGUGUACAUGGGUGGCAGAGUAGUUUAGAGGAGUGUAUAUGAGUGAUAGAUGGGUGUAAAUGGGUGAAAGGGGGCGUAGGGGGUGACAGAGUGGUGUACAUUGGUGACAGAGAGGUGUUGGGGGUGUAGAGGAGUGUACGUGGGUGACAGAGGAGCGCAGAGUAGUAUACAUGGAUAACAGAAGGGUGUAGGGGUGUACAUUGGUGAUAGAGAGGUGUAGAGGAGUGUGCAUGGGUGACAGGGGAGCGUAGAGGAGUGUAAAUGGAUAACAGAUGGGUGUAGAGGGGUGUACAUGGGUGACAGAGCGGUGUAGAGGAGUGUACAUGGGUGACAGAGGGGUGUAGAGGAGUGUACAUGGGUGACAGAGGGGUGUAGAGGAGUGUACAUGGGUGACAGAGGGGUGUAGAGGAGUGUACAUGGGUAACAGAGGAGUGUAGAGGAGUGUACAGAGGCCUACAUCACCAUUACUUGAUUAACUGUUGUAUAUUAUAUAAAACAUUUAGAUAAAAUGUUUUACAAAAAUAUACAUUAUAUUUUAAGUUCCUUUUUCCACUCCUUUUUCCAUAAUUCCUGAGUUAAGUAGUUCUGGCCCUAGAGUGUUAUAUAUAUUAGCGUCUGUAGCAUGUAUCAGGAACAUGUUAUCAUACCUGUGUCUUUUUUUACAGAUGACUCAUGACCAGUGAAAAGGUGAACGUGACAUAUACCCCCGUCAGCUGCAAGAAAGGAACCACAAAACAGAUGACUGAUGACCAGUGAAAAGGUGAACGUGACAUAUACCCCCGUCAGCUACAAGAAAGGAACCACAAAACAGAGGACUAAUGCCCGACAUAUACCCCCGUCAGCUGCAAGAAAGGAACCACGAAACAGGUAAUUAAUAUUUAUAUUAAUUACCGAUAACAAUCAGGCUAGAUGUAAAAUCUAGACCUGCAGACAUGUCAUAGUCUUUCCCGUAUAUAUGAAGAUAUAUGUGUUUUUAAUAAGUAUAUCGUCUAUGGACAGCUUUAUAUAUAACACAACCAUAUCUCAGGUACAGAGAUUAGGAACAUUCCAAAGUUGACGAGUAAAAAGGUAGCAGAAAGUGGAACAUUGGUAACAGCAGUGUCGAGGAGUGUACAUGGGUGGCAGAGUGGUUUAGAGGAGUGUACAUGGGUGAUAGAUGGGUGUACAUGGGUGACAGGGGGCGUAGGGGGUGACAGAGGGGUGUACAUGGGUGACAGAGGUGUUGGGUGUGUAGAGGAGUGUACAUGGGUAAUAGGGGAGCAUAGAGGAGUGUACAUGGUAACAGAGGAGUGUAGAGGAGUGUACAUGGGUGUCAGA